This 5866-nucleotide long non-coding RNA is filed under the name Nicotiana tabacum (common tobacco). Its description in RNAcentral is "long non-coding RNA (NTAB_LNC019380)". The record is from RNAcentral. Lineage: Eukaryota; Viridiplantae; Streptophyta; Magnoliopsida; Solanales; Solanaceae.
GCACAACAUGAAAUUCGACAACACAGUAAUAGAUGUUGAUCUCUGUCCAUGUUUCAGCAAGUCCAAAUUUGAUCACGACAACACACCAUUGCUUCUUAACUUGUUAAUCAGCAUGAAUGUAUGUCUAUAGUUCCUUUAGUUCAAGUUCAUAAGACAACAACCACUGCUUUGUUUUCUCUACAUCAGCACAACGUUACUUCACCUCAUGGUUUGUGUUGGCAAGAUAGAUUAAGCUAUUCUUGAAUGUUUCGAAGGGACAAAUUAUACAAGGGAGAAAAGGAGACCACAUCAAAUGCAACUAAAUUAUUGCCUUAGCGUGGUACCCUCUUUCUACUCAGUAUUUCCUGCACAAAACAACACAUUUUAGCCCAAAAAGAAUGGAAAGUUUAAGACAAAAAUGAAAAGAAUAUCAUGGGGGAAUUAAAUUGGUUUUUGUAUGAAAGCAAGUAAAUUUAGGUGAACUAACAAAAAGAUAAGUCAAUCAACCUUAAACAGUAGUAUUUGUAAGAAACAUAAAGAGCCUGGAGUUUCCUUCUUGACACUAGCACUACUAGAUACUUAAGAUUUGUGCUAUUCAUUUACAAAUGCUUAACUUGGUGCUUAACUUUACGAAUGCUUAACUUAGCUCUGUUGUCUUUAUCUCUUUUCUUCAUGCUUGGAAUUUUUUUAACAUUUUUAACGUUCGUGAAAUCUGGAUCAUUUUGUUUGGUUUUGUAACUUGUAUCUCUCUGGAACAUUGAUGUUCAAAUAAUAGCUGAAGCUUGACCAGGUUCAAAUCCAUUUUGCACUUGUUUCAUGUCCUUCCGUUUCGAAAUAUGAGACAUCAUAUCAGUGAUGGUAGAAGAAAAACAUUACAGUAAUGGUUGAAGGAUAGGUUUAUAGAGAAAACAUCACAUCAAAAUUGAAAUUUUGAUUGGAUGCGUGAAUUUCUUAAUUCUUGAAAGUUGUGACAGAUUUUUAGAAGAGGAACUGUGACAAAUAUUCUGAAAUUUUUCAAAUUGAGAAGAGUAUCAGAUAAAUUGGAACAGAGUGACACUAACAUCUUUAGUCCUAAGUUUCACUUUGAAAAAUCAUUUUAAGACCAAAGAAGGAAGAGGAUGAGGUGAAAUGUAAUAAGUUUGUUAGCUUUUACGUGUAAAAAACUAUUCCAACCUUAGCUUGUGAGUAGCGACACUAUUUUCUUGACCCGUUUGAUUUAGAAAUUGAUCACCUAUUGCACUUUCGAAGCCCAAAAUUGCAACUGAACAUUGUUUCUAGUAAAUUUCUUUUGCAUUGAAGAUGCUGGGACUGGAAUGCUGAAUAACUACUGUAAUAGCAGUUAUAUCUCUUGAUCAUUGAUUGCUAGAGACCAACUUCCCAUGCAGUUGCACAAGUACAAAUACAUGGCUCUAUGCCGUCAUGUCUCAUAUUCCAGCAUGUUAGAAUAAUGUAAGUUAUCAACAGGUUUUAACCUUCCUUAGAUAGAUAAAGAGCCUGGAGUUUCCUUCUUGACACUAGCACUACUAGAUACUUAAGAUUUGUGCUAUUCAUUUACAAAUGCUUAACUUGGUGCUUAACUUUACAAAUGCUUAACUUAGCUUUGUUGUCUUUAUCUCUUUUCUUCGUGCUUGGAAUUUUUUUAACAGUAGCUCCUUGUGCCUAUUGAAAACAUAGUAUUAGGUUGUAUAGCUGAAUUCACAGCCUUGUACAACCUCGAGAGUGUUGCAGUAGCAGGUACAUCACCCUUAGCUACUGGUUUUACUGAUUUAAAAAGAUCUGCACCUUCCUUAUGUUGUCGCAGAUUUCCAACAUGCUCCUUAACAACCUCUAUUCCCCCCAAAUUUUGAGUAACAGCUGUAGCAGCCAAAUUUUGAGUAACAGUUGCAAUCAAAUCUGUUCUUGUUGAUUUAUGAUUCAUGAAAUCUGGAACAUUUUGUUUGGUUGUGUAGCUUGUAUCUCUCUGGAACAUUGAUGUUCAAAUAAUAGUUGAAGCUUGACCAGGUUCUUCGUUAUGUUAAGAUUAUGAUUCUUCGUUAUGCAUGAUCAAAAGAAUGUAGUUAUUUCUGCUUAUAGAUGUUAGCGUAUUUGUUGUAGAUACAAAGGGCAGAUCUUGCUUAAGACGAUUCUGUUUCUAGACCAAAGUAAUCCUUGAGUAUUUGCUUCGAAGUUCUUCCAAAUCCAUUUUGCACUUGUUUCAUGUCCUUCAGUGUCAAAAUUUCUCGCUUUAUUUGGUCUACUCUUUUCAGGACAACAUCAAGUAAGGUAUCUGUUUCAACCAUUGAUGUAUGGCUUGAUAGAUCUGAUCUUUUCUUGUCAAGCUUUUUGUAUAGAUUCAUGAUAUAAUUCUUUUGAGUAAAAAGCUUUUCCUCAGCAAGUUUGUACUCAAAUUCUUGAGACUCCCUCAAUGCCUGCAGUGUUUGACUGACAAAGUAUCUAACAGUGAUGGAAUCUUCAAGAUAUUUUUUUCAAUAUUAUACUUUAUCCUUUAACAUAAUUAUUUUAUAAUUUCAGGCCAUACGGUCUGAUGUUCGAUAAUUUAGCAGUUGGAAGAUUUCAAAAUGAUGAGAAGUUGCGGAAAUCAUUUGAAGACCAUCAUUCUGGAUUAUUACUAUGAUGACAUUAGCUAUUUAGUCUAAACAAUAUAUUUUUAUGUUUUAAGUUACGAUGAUACUAAUAUUUUUGAUUAGUACUUCCUUUUGUUUGUUAAGAUUUAAUGAGAUAUAUUACAUUUUUUUGAAUUAAUAUUAAUAUAUUUUAUUAUUUGGGUCAUAUUUUAUACAAAUGUAGUAACUAUUAUUAAUUGUCGCCAAAUUAUUGAUAUUAUCGCUAGUGACUUUUAAAGAUAUUGAUUUUUAGCGGCAAUUUAGUUAAACAUAUUAGCUAUUAAAAUGGACGCUAAAAGGGUAAACUAAUUGCCGUUAAAGAUGCAAAUUUUUUAGCGACAAUUAUUUUGAAUUUAGCGGCUAAAAAAAUGGAUGGUAAAUAAGUAUAAUUAGCCGUUUGGAUUGGAUUUAGUAGUCAUUAUAAUUGCCAUAAACAAUUGCCGCUAGAGAUUCGAACGUUUAGCGACAAUUAUUUUGAACUUAGCCGCUAUAAAAAUGGAUGUAAAUAAGUAUAAUUAGCCGUUUGGAUUGGAUUUAGUAGCCAUUAUAAUUGCCACAAACAAUUGCUGUUAGAGAUACGAACGUUUAGCGGUAAUUAGUUUGAAUGUAGCGGCUAUAAAAAUAGCUGCUAAAGAAGUAUAGUCGGCCAUUUUGGAUUGGAUUUAAUAGCCAUUAUAAUUGCCGCAAACAAUUGCCAUUAAAGAUAAUAACUUUUAGCGGUAAUAAACCAUGCCUUUUACCACCUUUUAUUACAAAAGCCGCUAAAGGCUUUGCCGACCCCGGCAUUAGCGGCAAAACAAUAAUGGCUGGUAAAAGAUAUAGCGGCUAUAGUUAUUGCCGCUAAAGCCGUUUUGUAUUGUUGCAAAAGGUCUUUUUUGUAGUAGUGACAUUUCCGAGUUCUGUGGUUCUAGCACGAUCGCUUUGAUUAUACUUGGCUUAUUAAAUUAUCUAAUUAGCCAUUUUAGAACCUAUGUGCAUUUACCUCUUUUAAUUAAGAAAUUAUUUUGACACGAGUCAUGCGUACGUGUACUCAUUUUAUUUGGUGCGUCAAAAAUCGUGUCACGCGAACGUGUUCACAAUUAAUAACGCUUUGUUAUUAUUAAGAAAGUUUGGCCAAAGUUGCGCGUACACAUACCACGGUUUUGUUCUUAGAAAUCGCAAUCAUGUCAUGCGAACAUGUCCCCAAUCACAAUGAUAUAUUAAACAGGCCUAGAGAAACUACGAGCAUUUGUCAUUUUUAUAUCUAGGUUAUGAAAUUAAUACGAGGGCCAUGUAUGAUUAAAUUGUGGAUAGCACACCUCGGACUAUAUGAACUAAAAUUACAUUAAUGGUCUAUUAACAACAAUUUUAUUUUUAAGAAAGUUUGAUCGAAGUUGCGCGAGCACAUACUCCGACUUUGUUUUUAGAAUCGUAAUUAUGUCACACAAACGUGUACACAAUCACAAUAGCAUUUUAAACGCGCUUAGAGGCUUUUCCAUGGAUAUUCAUUUCAAAAACCGUAAUCAUAUCACGCUAAUGUGUACAUAGUCACGAUAAUAAAUUCAAAAUGCGCCUAAAGGUUCACCUAUCCGGGUGUUAACGGCCUAGCAUGCUCCUAACGAUUGUAACAAAGUAAAUAAAUGAAGGAGUACUAAAAAUGUAAACAACUUAAUUAAUUAUUUUUAUUUUCCCCACUCCCACGGAUUCAACAAACAUUCCGAAACUAAAAGUAAUAUCGCAGCUUGCUAAUACGCCCACGAUUUGAUGAAAUUCAAGCUUUUUCUCAACAAAUCCAAUCAUAGACAAAGAUCAAGAACAGUUAAGCUUCUUAUAUCUUCUAAAUUCAAGAGUGUAACUACAUGGAUUACUAAAGCCAUUACGAGAGAACAAAGGAUUUCUAAGUAUUACUUAAUCAAAUUUUAUCUCCAAUAUAAGGAAACGAAAUCCAAGAUAACUACACAAUAAAACUUCAAACAUUUAGCACAAAUCUGACAUAGUAAAGCUAAGUCUAAAAUCAUAAAUGAUCUGUAUAGCAAAUGCAUAUGAAACCAGCCAACAACGAAGAGAAUAGGUCAACAACAUAUUUCGAUCACAACCACGAAAGUAACAUAGCAAUUUCCAAAUUUCAAUUCGAUUUAAUCACAUCAUUAAUUUCAACGUCAACUCAAUGUAGAUUCGAAAAGCAGUAGCUAUUUCUUUUAUGCAAACCUUCAGCUCAAUAACAAUUCUAAUAAAGAGCUCCAAUCCAGAAGAAGAGAACUAGAAUUUGUGUCAAACCCAACAAAAUAGAAGGAAAAUAAUGGCAGUGCCUCAACAACAUUUCAAUGUAUCAAAGCAACCACUCAUUAUCAAACCAAAAGCUACCAAACAAAAAAAGUUAUUCAAGUAAUUAUCAUACACAUAACAAGGACUAAAACAAGAGGAAAUAAACACAAAUAUUCACAUGAAACAUUAUAAAAGAGGAAAAGUUUGGAAUCAGACCUCAAUAAUAUUAACAAAAACUUAGUUACAGUAAAUUCCGGUGGACUAAAUCUGACUGGAAAAAUGAGACGAUAGCAGAAGCCUGGACCGCAGACCCCGUCAGCAACCUCGAAAUCAAAACGAAAUCAACCUCGGAUCAAAUCGGAGCCCUCUGAAUCAGUGGUCUUCGACUGAUUUUCGCGAGUUUGAUGGGAUUUUGGACUAACUAGCGACUGUUUUGGAGAAUUGUUGCCGAAUUUCCGGCGAGCUGGGCUGGGUCCGAUGAGAGACGGAGACGGGGGCUGCUGUGUAUGCCUGGUCGUCAGGGUUAUAGUGAGGAAGACGAGUUGGAUCUCUCUUAGGGUUCUUUUGUUUUCUGAUUUUUGGAAAGAUGGAGAAGAAAGGUCUAAGGCUUCUUCCAUUCUCUAGGGGUCUUCAACGUUUUUCAUUUUGUUUUUAGGAAGAAGGAGAAUGUUCAGACGGUCGGAUUUUUGAUGGAGCGGCGGAUCCCCUAUAUUAUAGAGUCUAGGGUCUAUUUAUUUGUUCUCCUUUUUUUUGUAUAGUGUAGGGAUAUAGGUUAGGGUUUUUUAGGUUAAGGGGUAUGGGCCUAGGAAUUAUGGGCUAGGUCCAAAAAUUAGGCCUAAAAAUAGGACGUUUGAGCCUGAAUUUUAUUCUUUCCCCGCGAACGAGACUAAAAUACGAUCUCAUUUAUUUAGUCAUACUUAAGUAAAAUAACUAUUAAAAUAAGACUGAUCAUUAAAACAAAACUAUUUUUGGUAUUUUUCAAGAUUAAAAAUGACUACAAAACAUUAAUGAAAUUAUUUUUUUGUAAUUUUUAUUUUCUU